UGGUUUAAUUUNACGCAACGCGCAGAACCUUACCUGGGCUUGACAUNCNCGGAACCCUCCCGAAACGGAGGGGUNCCCUUNGGGGAGCCGUGAGACAGGUNNUGCAUNGCUGUCGUCAGCUCGUGUCGUGAGAUGUUGGGUUAAGUCCCGCAACGAGCGCAANCCUUGUCAUCAGUUNCCAUCANUCAAUUGGGCACUUUCAAGAAACUGCCGGUGUCAAACCGGAGGAAGGUGGGGAUGACGUCAAGUCUUCAUGGCCCCUAUGUCCAGGGGUACACACGUGCUACAAUGGCCGGUACAAAGAGUAGCAAUACCCCGAGGGGGAGCCAAUCUCAGAAAACCGGUUUCAAUUUGGAUUGGAGUUUGCAACUUGACUCCANGAAGUCGGAAUCGCUAGUAAUCGCGGAUCAGCANGCCCCGGGGAAUUCGUUNCCGGGCCUUGUACCCCCCCCCCGUCCCCCCCCGGGANUUGNCUGGUCCCGAAGUGCGUGAGCUAACCCNUUNNNNNNNGCANCCUCCCNAGGAAUGGUCAGUGACUGUCGUAACAAGGAAC
This 553-nucleotide ribosomal RNA is filed under the name uncultured Geobacter sp. RNAcentral's name for it is "partial 16S ribosomal RNA". It matches the Rfam family "Bacterial small subunit ribosomal RNA", at positions 942 to 1499 of the family's 1533-position model. The record is from RNAcentral. Lineage: Bacteria; Pseudomonadati; Thermodesulfobacteriota; Desulfuromonadia; Geobacterales; Geobacteraceae.